CCGCGCCAGGUGUUUUGGCACAUAGAGUUUUGGUUUCUAAGGACGGGCAAUUGCUCGGGUGUGGU
This 65-nucleotide transfer RNA is filed under the name Glottidia pyramidata. RNAcentral's name for it is "tRNA-Gln". The record is from RNAcentral. Lineage: Eukaryota; Metazoa; Brachiopoda; Lingulata; Lingulida; Lingulidae.